This 479-nucleotide ribosomal RNA is filed under the name uncultured anaerobic ammonium-oxidizing bacterium. Its description in RNAcentral is "bacterial SSU rRNA". It matches the Rfam family "Bacterial small subunit ribosomal RNA", at positions 364 to 833 of the family's 1533-position model. The record is from RNAcentral.
UUUCGCAAUGCCCGAAAGGGUGACGAAGCGACGCCGCGUGAGUGAGGAAGGCCUUCGGGUUGUAAAGCUCUGUCAGGAGUUAAGAAAUAUAAGUGUGUUAAUACCACAUUUAUUUGACGAAGGCUCCAAAGGAAGCCACGGCUAACUCUGUGCCAGCAGCCGCGGUAAUACAGAGGUGGCAAGCGUUGUUCGGAAUUAUUGGGCGUAAAGAGCACGUAGGUGGGUUUGUAAGUCAGAUGUGAAAGCCUUCUGUUCAACGGAAGAAUUGCAUCUGAAACUGCGAGUCUUGAGUGUAGGAGGGGAGAAUGGAACUUCUGGUGGAGCGGUGAAAUGCGUAGAUAUCAGAAGGAACGCCGGCGGCGAAAGCGAUUCUCUGGCCUAUUACUGACACUCAGUGUGCGAAAGCUAGGGGAGCAAACGGGAUUAGAUACCCCGGUAGUCCUAGCUGUAAGCGAUGGGCACUAAGUAGAGGGGUUUUA